This 497-nucleotide ribosomal RNA is filed under the name uncultured bacterium. RNAcentral's name for it is "partial 16S ribosomal RNA". It matches the Rfam family "Bacterial small subunit ribosomal RNA", at positions 28 to 507 of the family's 1533-position model. The record is from RNAcentral.
GAUGAACGCUGGCGGCGUGCCUAAUACAUGCAAGUCGAGCGAACAGACGAGGAGCUUGCUCCUCUGACGUUAGCGGCGGACGGGUGAGUAACACGUGGAUAACCUACCUAUAAGACUGGGAUAACUUCGGGAAACCGGUGCUAAUACCGGAUAAUAUAUUGAACCGCAUGGUUCAAUAGUGAAAGACGGUUUUGCUGUCACUUAUAGAUGGAUCCGCGCCGCAUUAGCUAGUUGGUAAGGUAACGGCUUACCAAGGCGACGAUGCGUAGCCGACCUGAGAGGGUGAUCGGCCACACUGGAACUGAGACACGGUCCAGACUCCUACGGGAGGCAGCAGUAGGGAAUCUUCCGCAAUGGGUGAAAGCCUGACGGAGCAACGCCGCGUGAGUGAUGAAGGUCUUCGGAUCGUAAAACUCUGUUAUUAGGGAAGAACAAAUGUGUAAGUAACUAUGCACGUCUUGACGGUACCUAAUCAGAAAGCCACGGCUAACUACGUG